This 299-nucleotide unclassified non-coding RNA is filed under the name uncultured Ascomycota. Its description in RNAcentral is "sequence contains ITS1". The stretch from base 1 to 105 matches the Rfam family "5.8S ribosomal RNA", at positions 50 to 154 of the family's 154-position model. The record is from RNAcentral. Lineage: Eukaryota; Fungi; Ascomycota.
GAAAUGCGAUAAGUAGUGUGAAUUGCAGAAUUCAGUGAAUCAUCGAAUCUUUGAACGCACAUUGCGCCCUUUGGCAUUCCGAAGGGCAUACCUGUUCGAGCGUCAUUUCAACCCUCAAGCUCUGCUUGGUGUUGGGUGUUUGUCCUGCAAUUGCGUAUGGACUCGCCUUAAAACCAUCGGCGUUAGCAUGUUGGCCUUGAGCGUAGCAAAAUUCGCAAAGAGGCUGGGCGUGUUGGCUGCCGGAACAACCUAUUUUUUAGUUUGACCUCGGAUCAGGUAGGGAUACCCGCUGAACUUAA